Molecule: long non-coding RNA, 1335 nt
Filed under: Brassica napus (rape)
Lineage: Eukaryota; Viridiplantae; Streptophyta; Magnoliopsida; Brassicales; Brassicaceae
Description: long non-coding RNA (BNAP_LNC011163)
Source: RNAcentral
ACCUUUUCAUGGCUUCUUCUUCUUUCCUUAGUCAGAUUCUCUUCUCUUCGCCACCCACUAACCUUCCAUCUCGAUCAGACCCUCUAUAAUCUUUCUUCCCUCAGAAUCUGACUUGCUCUUCUCCUUCUACCAUGUGGCGUUUUGAGUCGUUAGCGGUUUCGCUGAACGGAAGUAUAUCUAUUACCUGAUAGUCGGAGAAAUGUAUCGGAGGUGAGGCACUUCAUCGUCGUUGUCUCCGGCUGGUCGUCAAUCAAAUCUCUCCGGUGAAUUUCUUAACUUUCUUAGAAAUGAGAUUUUAGAUUUGAAGGGUUGCAAAGUCUCGAUCUUUCAGGAUGUUAAUGCUAAUCAAAAACAGAGCUUUAAAGCAAAUGGUGACACGGUAAGCACUUCGCCGGCGGCGAUGACCUAGAGAAUGUUACAUUAGAGUAUCCAAGAGGAAGACAACUUUAGCUUUAGAGAUCCUGCAGGACGUUGACCAAAUCCGAAAGAGUUCGAUCGUAAAGGAACUGCGAGGAUGAUGGUAAAAGGAUGAAUCCAUACCUUUUUAUAGGUGAGAAUCACCGACUGGAUGAAUUGUAAGAAUCAUUGACUGCAAAAUCGUGGUUGUAGUGGGCAUGAGAAGUUAAGUAUUGGUUAAUGACGUUCAAUUAAGUCGAUUGGUAUGUGAGAUAACAAACUAAGUCCCACAUUGGAGAAUUAGACAAGGAGUGUCUAAUAUAUAAAGAGAUGUCCAACUCUAAUAGUACGAGGCCUUUUGGGAUGGAAACCAAAAGUAAAUCUAUGCGGGUCUGCCUCUUAGGCCCAAAGUGGACAAUAUCGUACUAAUCGGAUAAUAUAGAGUAUGGCAUGAGAUUUAACAAUCCCAACAAUUGGUAUCAGAGCGGUUGAUGAGAAAUCUGUAAAAGACCAAUAUAUCCUUCGAGAGAUGAAUGGUAUCCUAUGAGUUAGGAAUGAGAGGUGUGUGGCAGAGAUCAAGUCAAAAGAUUCUGGAAGUCAGUUGUGGGACACGAGAUGAAUGUGAUCCUUAGUUUGAGGGGGAGAAUGUGAGAUAACAAACUAAGUCCCACAUUGCAGAAUUAGACAAGGAGUGUCGUGUCUAAUAUAUAAAGAGAUGUCCAACUCUAAUAGUAUGAGGCCCAUACCUUUUUAUAGGUGAGAAUCACCGACUGGAUGAAUUGUAAGAAUCAUUGACUGCAAAAUCGUGGUUGUAGUGGGCAUGAGAAGUUAAGUAUUGGUUAAUGACGUUCAAUUAAGUCGAUUGGUAUGUGAGAUAACAAACUAAGUCCCACAUUGGAGAAUUAGACAAGGAGUGUCUAAUAUAUAAAGAGAUGUCCA